GAUGAAGAACGUAGCGAAAUGCGAUACUUGGUGUGAAUUGCAGAAUCCCGUGAACCAUCGAGUCUUUGAACGCAAGUUGCGCCCGAAGCCAUCAGGUUGAGGGCACGUCUGCCUGGGCGUCACAUAUCGUUGCCCAAUGCCUAUUGCAGUGCAAUAGGAAUUUCUAGGGCGAAUGAUGGCUUCCCGUGAGCGUUGUUGCCUCGCGGUUGGUUGAAAAUCGAGUCCUUGGUAGGGUGUGCCAUGGUAGAUGGUGGUCGAGUUAGAACGAUACCGAUCAUGUGCAUGCUCCCCAAAAUAUGGCCUCUAUGACCCACACGCGUCUUUUGACGCUCAUGACGAGACCUCAGGUCAGGCGGGGCUACCCACUGAAUUUAAGCAUAUCAAUAAGCGGAGGA
RNAcentral lists this unclassified non-coding RNA (395 nucleotides) under soil metagenome. RNAcentral describes it as "partial contains 5.8S ribosomal RNA, internal transcribed spacer 2, and large subunit ribosomal RNA". The stretch from base 1 to 122 matches the Rfam family "5.8S ribosomal RNA", at positions 35 to 154 of the family's 154-position model. The record is from RNAcentral.